This 434-nucleotide ribosomal RNA is filed under the name Klebsiella aerogenes. RNAcentral describes it as "partial 23S ribosomal RNA". It matches the Rfam family "Bacterial large subunit ribosomal RNA", at positions 1 to 474 of the family's 2925-position model. The record is from RNAcentral. Lineage: Bacteria; Pseudomonadati; Pseudomonadota; Gammaproteobacteria; Enterobacterales; Enterobacteriaceae. RNAcentral also lists the same sequence under 1 other name.
GGUUAAGCGACUAAGCGUACACGGUGGAUGCCCUGGCAGUCAGAGGCGAUGAAGGACGUGCUAAUCUGCGAAAAGCGUCGGUAAGGUGAUAUGAACCGUUACAGCCGGCGAUGUCCGAAUGGGGAAACCCAGUGUGAUUCGUCACACUAUCGUUAACUGAAUACAUAGGUUAACGAGGCGAACCGGGGGAACUGAAACAUCUAAGUACCCCGAGGAAAAGAAAUCAACCGAGAUUCCCCCAGUAGCGGCGAGCGAACGGGGAGCAGCCCAGAGUCUGAAUCAGCUUGUGUGUUAGUGGAACGGUCUGGAAAGUCCGACGGUACAGGGUGAUAGUCCCGUACACCAAAAUGCACAGGCUGUGAACUCGAAGAGUAGGGCGGGACACGUGGUAUCCUGUCUGAAUAUGGGGGGACCAUCCUCCAAGGCUAAAUACU